GGGCCCGUAGCUUAGCCUGGUAGAGCACCGGGCUCUUAACCCGGGGGUCGCGGGUUCAAAUCCCGCCGGGCCCG
RNAcentral lists this transfer RNA (74 nucleotides) under Thermoprotei archaeon. RNAcentral describes it as "tRNA-Lys". It matches the Rfam family "tRNA". Rfam says of the family: Transfer RNA (tRNA) molecules are approximately 80 nucleotides in length. Their secondary structure includes four short double-helical elements and three loops (D, anti-codon, and T loops). Further hydrogen bonds mediate the characteristic L-shaped molecular structure. tRNAs have two regions of fundamental functional importance: the anti-codon, which is responsible for specific mRNA codon recognition, and the 3' end, to which the tRNAs corresponding amino acid is attached (by aminoacyl-tRNA synthetases). tRNAs cope with the degeneracy of the genetic code in two manners: having more than one tRNA (with a specific anti-codon) for a particular amino acid; and 'wobble' base-pairing, i.e. permitting non-standard base-pairing at the 3rd anti-codon position. The record is from RNAcentral. RNAcentral also lists the same sequence under 1 other name. Lineage: Archaea; Thermoproteati; Thermoproteota; Thermoprotei.